Molecule: ribosomal RNA, 396 nt
Filed under: uncultured organism
Description: bacterial SSU rRNA
Rfam family: Bacterial small subunit ribosomal RNA
Source: RNAcentral
CGUGUCGCGUAAGCGACCGGAUUUCUAGCCCUGAGGGCGCAGUGAGGGGCUGGGGGAAGUGGCGAAAGGGGCAGUAAUGCGUGGGUAACCUACCCCGGGGACUGGGAUAGCCUUCCUAACGGAAGGGUAAUACCGGGCGAUGUGGACGAGGGGCAUCUCUUGGACACGAAAUGAGUUUCGCCUCGGGAGGGGCUCACGUGGUAUUAGCUUGUUGGUGAGGUAACGGCUCACCAAGGCCAAGAUGCCUAGCAGGUGUGAGAGCACGACCUGCGCCACUGGCACUGAGACACUGGCCAGACUCCUACGGGAGGCUGCAGUCGAGGAUCUUCGGCAAUGGGCGCAAGCCUGACCGAGCGACGCCGCGUGCGCGAUGAAGGCCUUCGGGUUGUAAAGCGC